RNAcentral lists this ribosomal RNA (673 nucleotides) under Staphylococcus sp. Its description in RNAcentral is "bacterial SSU rRNA". It matches the Rfam family "Bacterial small subunit ribosomal RNA", at positions 758 to 1430 of the family's 1533-position model. Lineage: Bacteria; Bacillati; Bacillota; Bacilli; Caryophanales; Staphylococcaceae. The record is from RNAcentral.
AGCGUGGGGAUCAAACAGGAUUAGAUACCCUGGUAGUCCACGCCGUAAACGAUGAGUGCUAAGUGUUAGGGGGUUUCCGCCCCUUAGUGCUGCAGCUAACGCAUUAAGCACUCCGCCUGGGGAGUACGACCGCAAGGUUGAAACUCAAAGGAAUUGACGGGGACCCGCACNGCGGUGGAGCAUGUGGUUUAAUUCGAAGCAACGCGAAGAACCUUACCAAAUCUUGACAUCCUUUGACCGCUCUAGAGAUAGAGUNUUCCCCUUCGGGGGACAAAGUGACAGGUGGUGCAUGGUUGUCGUCAGCUCGUGUCGUGAGAUGUUGGGUUAAGUCCCGCAACGAGCGCAACCCUUAAGCUUAGUUGCCAUCAUUAAGUUGGGCACUCUAAGUUGACUGCCGGUGACAAACCGGAGGAAGGUGGGGAUGACGUCAAAUCAUCAUGCCCCUUAUGAUUUGGGCUACACACGUGCUACAAUGGACAAUACAAAGGGCAGCUAAACCGCGAGGUCAAGCAAAUCCCAUAAAGUUGUUCUCAGUUCGGAUUGUAGUCUGCAACUCGACUACAUGAAGCUGGAAUCGCUAGUAAUCGUAGAUCAGCAUGCUACGGUGAAUACGUUCCCGGGUCUUGUACACACCGCCCGUCACACCACGAGAGUUUGUAACACCCGAAGCCGG